This 278-nucleotide ribosomal RNA is filed under the name uncultured bacterium. RNAcentral describes it as "partial 16S ribosomal RNA". It matches the Rfam family "Bacterial small subunit ribosomal RNA", at positions 335 to 630 of the family's 1533-position model. The record is from RNAcentral.
AUACCUACGGGGCGCAGCAGUGGGGAAUAUUGCACAAUGGGGGAAACCCUGAUGCAGCGACGCCGCGUGAGUGAAGAAGUAUUUCGGUAUGUAAAGCUCUAUCAGCAGGGAAGAUAAUGACGGUACCUGACUAAGAAGCUCCGGCUAAAUACGUGCCAGCAGCCGCGGUAAUACGUAUGGAGCAAGCGUUAUCCGGAUUUACUGGGUGUAAAGGGAGCGCAGACGGCAAGGCAAGUCAGGCGGGAAAGUUAGGGGCUCAACCCCUAAACUGCGCUUGA